This 864-nucleotide long non-coding RNA is filed under the name Apis dorsata (giant honeybee). RNAcentral's name for it is "uncharacterized LOC116186372". The record is from RNAcentral. Lineage: Eukaryota; Metazoa; Arthropoda; Insecta; Hymenoptera; Apidae.
CUCUCGUUUCUUUCCUCCACGAUUCUUUCUCUUUCUUUCUUUCUUUCUUUCUUUCUUUCUUAUCCAAGCUAGUCGGAGAAGAAUCCAGCGAUUCCUCCUCUGGUCGAACCAUCGGUUUUAUUUAUCCGGUGAAACGCUCCUGCGAGCGUUUAAGCCCAGUCCGUGGUGUGGGCCAGGGAGUGGCGUAAAAAGGAAGUGGGUGUGAGCAUACGCGUAGCGAUGCGUGACGCUGGGCCUCGCGUGGAGCCAUUUUGCCAGGGAAAGAAAAGGGACCAUCUUUGAUCGGUGUCGGAAGAAAAUCGGCGUGGAAACAGAGAGAGAGAAAGAAAGAGAGAGAGGGAGGUGGAGAGAUUUUUGUCGCGUCAUUGUUGUUCUCGUUCCGUCGUUCAUCGUCCUUUCCAACCUCGAUCCUCGAUCGGAGGAUGUUUUGAUCCCGAUUGUUUACGCGAGCGUGGUGAUGAAACUUUGGCAAAAAUCGAGGUGGAACGAAGAGGGGUUCCCUCCGUUUUCUCGGAGUAAAGCGAUAAAAUCCGAAGGUCAUUCUCGCGGCGCGCAAUUCUUUUCGCGUCAUUUCUCUCUCUCUCUCUCUCUCUCUCUCUCUCCCUCCCUCUCUUUUUUUNNNNNNNNNNNNNNCCUUUCCUUGGCUUUUUUAGCCGCAACGAGGCCGCGAGCCUCGCCGGCAGACAACCUUCGUACGAUACUCGGUUACACCAACAAACAAAGUCUGUAAAAGAUAUAUUCGUUGACCGGUUGUCUCGCUCUCUCGCUGUACUCCGCCGCUGCUUUUUCGUACUUGGAAAGAGAGUUAUAUUUAUUUCGUUCGUCGUAUUCGCAAUUGCGAAUAAUAAAAUUCGAUUAAUUUUU